GGAGACGUGUCCGAGUGGCUGAAGGAGCACGCUUGGAAAGCGUGUAAGCGGGCAACUGUUUCAUGAGUUCGAAUCUCAUCGUCUCCGCCA
RNAcentral lists this transfer RNA (90 nucleotides) under Chitinophagaceae bacterium. Its description in RNAcentral is "tRNA-Ser". It matches the Rfam family "tRNA". Rfam says of the family: Transfer RNA (tRNA) molecules are approximately 80 nucleotides in length. Their secondary structure includes four short double-helical elements and three loops (D, anti-codon, and T loops). The record is from RNAcentral. RNAcentral also lists the same sequence under 1 other name. Lineage: Bacteria; Pseudomonadati; Bacteroidota; Chitinophagia; Chitinophagales; Chitinophagaceae.